UCGGGCCCGGCCCUGCUGAGGCGAGGCCCGGCCCGCACAGCCCAGCCCCGGGCCCGUGUCCCGGCCCCGCCGUGGCCGCCAGUCCCUGGCCCGCCCGAGGCCGGGCUCACACCCACCCUGGAGCCCCGGGCUGGCCUGGCCGUGGCCAAGUGACCGCAGGUCCCACCUGGGGGAAGGGCCCAGGAAGGCCAAAGGCUAUUUAAACCAAAUUCUGUGGCAAGCACACGUCCUGACCCUACCUCCUCUUGGAAAUUCUAUCGGCUGAACACCACUGGAACCAGCACUGGAUGACAGCAAAGGAUGCCAAGAGACUGAUAUGGGUGAAUCAAGAGCUGCUGGUCAGACUUAAGCAUAAGAAGCAAAUGAACGGUCUGUCCUUCAUUAAUUCCAAGUGAUGAGUGAAGUUAAUGGGAAGUUUUCUUCCCACUGAGGUGCAGAUUUAAUGGAUGCUUAAGAACACAGAGGAAGCCUGUCUCAAACUGAAAGCAAAGGGAAUGCAUAGGCUCUUUGAAAGGAUCAACAGUGAAUAAGUGUCCAUUUGCAUCAGCUGGCUCCACUGGAAAUAAAUGUUUGAUGAAAUGUCUUGAGAAGA
Vidua macroura (Pin-tailed whydah) is the source of this 592-nucleotide long non-coding RNA. RefSeq lists it as uncharacterized. The transcript is spliced from 4 exons. Lineage: Eukaryota; Metazoa; Chordata; Aves; Passeriformes; Viduidae. The record is from RefSeq and is a predicted model, not a curated record.